UAAUAUAAGAGAUGUUAUACAGCGAUCAUCAAGUGACAUGCAUAUCCUAUAAUAAAUUUCUAUUAGCUGGUGAACCUUUUGAUAUAUACAUGUACCUGUUAAAGAUACGGAAAAUGAAGCAGCUGUCGAGACAGCUAUUGUGGUAAGUAGAUAUUUUGAUUUUUUUCAAAGUUUCAAUGUUGUGUGCGCGUUUAAGUCCGUUUUUGUUUGUUUUUUUUAGGGGGGAGGGGGAGGGGGGAUUAGCUAUAUCCCAUAUCCCAAAAGUGCAAUCCUUUCAAUUCAUUGCUCAAAAUGAAAGUCACGUAUACCACAUUUUCAUAUGUCAUAUAUAUGUUUUGCCUCCAAUAUCACGUUUAUAUUAAAAUUCUGCGCGAAAUGAACAAAAGUUUCCGUCAAUAACUUUAUAACUGCAUUAUCGGAUUUAACAGUUGAUACCUUUAUCGGUAGAUAUGAGUGUUCAUAUUUCCCUUUUCCUUAUAAUUCAAUAAAUAUAGCCGUCCAUUUUUUCCCCUUUGAUUCCCUUUUUUCUAUUUUAUACUGAUAUAAUAUAUGAUUUUAAAAAUUUACUUCAAAUGUUUUGAUCAAAUACCCAUGUAUUUUAGGACGUUUCUUUAAACAGUGUGUAUGGUAAAGGAUCUAAAAUAGUUACAGUUUAUUGUUACUAUUGUUUAUUGUUACUUUUGUUUAUUGUUACUUUUGUUUAUAGUUACUUUUGUUUUUUGUUUUUUUUAGCCUUACCUAUAGUCUUAAUACGAAGCACUUGACGGACUGAAAAAAACACACACAAAUAUGUAUAUUGAUAAAUUACAUCAGAAGGCAUAACAUGUACAUCAUCACAGUC
RNAcentral lists this long non-coding RNA (841 nucleotides) under Mytilus galloprovincialis (Mediterranean mussel). Lineage: Eukaryota; Metazoa; Mollusca; Bivalvia; Mytilida; Mytilidae. The record is from RNAcentral.